RNAcentral lists this ribosomal RNA (451 nucleotides) under uncultured bacterium. RNAcentral's name for it is "bacterial SSU rRNA". It matches the Rfam family "Bacterial small subunit ribosomal RNA", at positions 354 to 796 of the family's 1533-position model. The record is from RNAcentral.
GUGGGGAAUAUUGGACAAUGGGGGGAACCCUGAUCCAGCCAUGCCGCGUGUGUGAAGAAGGCCUUUUGGUUGUAAAGCACUUUAAGCGAGGAGGAGGCUACCGAGAUUAAUACUCUUGGAUAGUGGACGUUACUCGCAGAAUAAGCACCGGCUAACUCUGUGCCAGCAGCCGCGGUAAUACAGAGGGUGCAAGCGUUAAUCGGAUUUACUGGGCGUAAAGCGCGCGUAGGUGGCCAAUUAAGUCAAAUGUGAAAUCCCUGGGCUUAACUUGGGAAUUGCAUUCGAUACUGGUUGGCUAGAGUAUGGGAGAGGAUGGUAGAAUUCCAGGUGUAGCGGUGAAAUGCGUAGAGAUCUGGAGGAAUACCGAUGGCGAAGGCAGCCAUCUGGCCUAAUACUGACACUGAGGUGCGAAAGCAUGGGGAGCAAACAGGAUUAGAAACCCUUGUAGUCC